This 1285-nucleotide ribosomal RNA is filed under the name uncultured prokaryote. RNAcentral describes it as "partial 16S ribosomal RNA". It matches the Rfam family "Bacterial small subunit ribosomal RNA", at positions 162 to 1459 of the family's 1533-position model. The record is from RNAcentral.
AUUAAUACUCCAUAACAUCGUUUUACCGCAUGGUAUUUCGAUUAAAACUCCGGUGGUUAAAGAUGGGUAUGCGUGAGAUUAGAUUGUUGGUGAGGUAACGGCUCACCAAGACUACGAUGUCUAGGGGUUCUGAGAGGAUGAUCCCCCACACUGGUACUGAGACACGGACCAGACUCCUACGGGAGGCAGCAGUGAGGAAUAUUGGUCAAUGGACGCAACUCUGAACCAGCCAUGCCGCGUGCAGGAUGACGGCCCUAUGGGUUGUAAACUGCUUUUAUUAAGGAAUAACUCCCUGGCGUGAAGCGGGGCUGACGGUACCAAACGAAUAAGCACCGGCUAACUCCGUGCCAGCAGCCGCGGUAAUACGGAGGGUGCAAGCGUUAUCCGGAUUUAUUGGGUUUAAAGGGUCCGUAGGUGGACUAAUAAGUCAGUGGUGAAAUCCUACAGCUUAACUGUAGAACUGCCAUUGAUACUGUUAGUCUUGAGUGAAGUUGAAGUAGCUGGAAUGUGUAGUGUAGCGGUGAAAUGCAUAGAUAUUACACAGAACACCAAUUGCGAAGGCAGGUUACUAAACUUCUACUGACACUGAUGGGCGAAAGCGUGGGGAGCGAACAGGAUUAGAUACCCUGGUAGUCCACGCCGUAAACGAUGAUCACUCGCUGUCGGGGUUAUAUUGUAAGCGACUGAGCGAAAGCAUUAAGUGAUCCACCUGGGGAGUACGUCGGCAACGAUGAAACUCAAAGGAAUUGACGGGGGCCCGCACAAGCGGAGGAACAUGUGGUUUAAUUCGAUUAUACGCGAGGAACCUUACCUGGGUUUAAAUGUAAAACGACUUUCCGGGAAACCGGAAUUCCCUUCGGGGCGGAUUGCAAGGUGCUGCAUGGCUGUCGUCAGCUCGUGCCGUGAGGUGUCGGGUUAAGUCCCAUAACGAGCGCAACCCUUAUCUUUAGUUGCCAGCGAGUAAUGUCGGGGACUUUAAAAAAACUGCCAGUGUAAGCUGGAGGAAGGUGGGGAUGACGUCAAGUCAGCACGGCCCUUAUGUCCAGGGCCACACACGUGUUACAAUGGCCGGUACAAAGGGCAGCUACUACGCGAGUAGAUGCUAAUCUCUAAAGCCGGUCCCAGUUCGGAUUGGAGUCUGCAACUCGACUUCAUGAAGUUGGAAUCGCUAGUAAUCGCGCAUCAGCCAUGGCGCGGUGAAUACGUUCCCGGGCCUUGUACACACUGCCCGUCAAGCCAUGGAAGCUGGGAGUACCUAAAGUCCGUAACCGUAAGGAGCGGCCUA